Molecule: ribosomal RNA, 419 nt
Filed under: bacterium enrichment culture clone ALO1_GLFRUDD03G3PLA
Lineage: Bacteria
Description: bacterial SSU rRNA
Rfam family: Bacterial small subunit ribosomal RNA
Source: RNAcentral
GAGUUUGAUCUUGGCUCAGAUUGAACGCUGGCGGCAUGCCUUACACAUGCAAGUCGAACGGCAGCACGGGAGCUUGCUCCUGGUGGCGAGUGGCGAACGGGUGAGUAAUGCAUCGGAACGUAUCCUGGAGUGGGGGAUAACGUAGCGAAAGUUACGCUAAUACCGCAUAUUCUGUGAGCAGGAAAGCGGGGGACCUUCGGGCCUCGCGCUCUUGGAGCGGCCGAUGUCGGAUUAGCUAGUUGGUGAGGUAAAGGCUCACCAAGGCGACGAUCCGUAGCAGGUCUGAGAGGAUGAUCUGCCACACUGGAACUGAGACACGGUCCAGACUCCUACGGGAGGCAGCAGUGGGGAAUUUUGGACAAUGGGGGCAACCCUGAUCCAGCCAUGCCGCGUGAGUAAAGAAGGCCUUCGGUUGUAAG